Molecule: ribosomal RNA, 382 nt
Filed under: uncultured bacterium
Lineage: Bacteria
Description: bacterial SSU rRNA
Rfam family: Bacterial small subunit ribosomal RNA
Source: RNAcentral
AAUCAACGCUGGCGGCGUGCCUAACACAUGCAAGUCGAACGCGAAAGUCCCGCAAGGGGCAAGUAGAGUGGCAAACGGGUGAGUAACACGUGGGUGACCUGCCUUCGAGUGGGGGAUAACGUCCCGAAAGGGACGCUAAUACCGCAUAACAUCCUGCCUUUUAAGAGGUGGACAUCAAAGCCGGGGAUCGCAAGACCUGGCGCUUGAAGAGGGGCCCGCGCCUGAUUAGCUAGUUGGUGGGGAAUGGCUCACCAAGGCAACGAUCAGUAUCCGGCCUGAGAGGGCGGACGGACACACUGGGACUGAGACACGGCCCAGACUCCUACGGGAGGCAGCAGUGGGGAAUUGUUCGCAAUGGGCGCAAGCCUGACGACGCAACGCC